GGCGGCGUGCUUAACACAUGCAAGUCGAACGGAAAGGCCACAGCUUGCUGUGGUACUCGAGUGGCGAACGGGUGAGUAACACGUGGGUGAUCUGCCCUGUACUUCGGGAUAAGCUUGGGAAACUGGGUCUAAUACCGGAUAGGAAUCACAUGUGGGUGUGUGGUUGGAAAGCUUUUGCGGUAUGGGAUGAGCUCGCGGCCUAUCAGCUUGUUGGUGGGGUAAUGGCCUACCAAGGCGUCGACGGGUAGCCGGCCUGAGAGGGUGUACGGCCACAUUGGGACUGAGAUACGGCCCAGACUCCUACGGGAGGCAGCAGUGGGGAAUAUUGCACAAUGGGCGCAAGCCUGAUGCAGCGACGCCGCGUGGGGGAUGACGGCCUUCGGGUUGUAAACUCCUUUCGUCAGGGACGAAGCGAAAGUGACGGUACCUGGAUAAGAAGCACCGGCUAACUACGUGCCAGCAGCCGCGGUAAUACGUAGGGUGCGAGCGUUGUCCGGAAUUACUGGGCGUAAAGAGCUCGUAGGUGGUUUGUCGCGUCGUUUGUGUAAGUCCACGGCUUAACUGUGGGAUGGCAGGCGAUACGGGCAUAACUUGAGUGCUGUAGGGGAGACUGGAAUUCCUGGUGUAGCGGUGAAAUGCGCAGAUAUCAGGAGGAACACCGAUGGCGAAGGCAGGUCUCUGGGCAGUAACUGACGCUGAGGAGCGAAAGCAUGGGUAGCGAACAGGAUUAGAUACCCUGGUAGUCCAUGCCGUAAACGGUGGGCGCUAGGUGUGAGUCCCUUCCACGGGGUUCGUGCCGUAGCUAACGCAUUAAGCGCCCCGCCUGGGGAGUACGGCCGCAAGGCUAAAACUCAAAGGAAUUGACGGGGGCCCGCACAAGCGGCGGAGCAUGUGGAUUA
This 899-nucleotide ribosomal RNA is filed under the name Corynebacterium sanguinis. RNAcentral's name for it is "bacterial SSU rRNA". It matches the Rfam family "Bacterial small subunit ribosomal RNA", at positions 38 to 948 of the family's 1533-position model. The record is from RNAcentral. Lineage: Bacteria; Bacillati; Actinomycetota; Actinomycetes; Mycobacteriales; Corynebacteriaceae.